This 834-nucleotide long non-coding RNA is filed under the name Marmota monax (woodchuck). Lineage: Eukaryota; Metazoa; Chordata; Mammalia; Rodentia; Sciuridae. The record is from RNAcentral.
AAAUUCAGAGUUAGCGAAGAUCAGACUUUUGUCCACACUCAGCUCCCAAGCCAGGUUCUUUGAUAUGUGAUCCGCUCACAUCACACUGGAUGAAGGGAAGGAAUGUGCCCAGGGAGGUAUUAUCCUCCUUUUUAUUUUUUUAACAGUGAACAAGUCCAGGUGAAGAGAAAUCAUGUGAUAUCCACUUAUUAACCAAGGCCUCCCAAUAUGCAAAAAAAUCUUUUUUUUUUUUUUUUGACAGUACCUUUCAACACAUUAAGAAAGAAGGGGAGCAGCUUCUGCUGUGAGGACACAGAUUUAGUCUUCUGUGUCUCAAUUCUCUUCAGGGAUUAAAUUCUCAAACACCAGUUUCUCUGAUUAAUGGAACUACAUACUUUUCCUCUUCUACUGAAAACUACAUCUUCUCACUGAGCUCCCAGAGGCACCUGUGAGGAUGACCUAAGGCUGAGCCUAAGCAACUCCAUUUUUAAAAACUCCAGUUUGAAACCUGCAGUCUCACCAGGCACACCCAUAGACCCCUCCAGUUGGCCUCAAACAAGUUACUUCCCCUCACCCUGAUAAACAGAGUGAAGCCCCUGGCGGGCUGUCCUCGCUUAUCAGGCGAGAAGAUCAGGGUGGAGACCACCAGACAGAUGUUUCUGACCCCAGGGUAAAUGAUGUCACUGGUCACCGAGGUCUGAGUGAGUGUGCAUCUGCUGGACAUAAAGCCUAAGGCUUAAGACUUUUGAACUUAGCCUGCAGAGGGAAUGUCUGUCAUUAGCCUGUUAUGAUUAAGUGUGUUUUGCAAUGCUUAGAAUUAAUCUAGAAUUGUUUGCUGUGAAUUAAUUAAUCUAG